UACGAAGGGGGCUAGCGUUGCUCGGAAUUACUGGGCGUAAAGCGCACGUAGGCGGAUUGUUAAGUCGGGGGUGAAAUCCUGGAGCUCAACUCCAGAACUGCCUUCGAUACUGGCGAUCUCGAGUUCGGGAGAGGUGAGUGGAACUGCGAGUGUAGAGGUGAAAUUCGUAGAUAUCGAGAGGAACACCGGUGGCGAAGGCGGCCAACUGGACGAAUACUGACGCUGAGACUCGAAAGCGUGGGGAGCAAACAGG
Molecule: ribosomal RNA, 253 nt
Filed under: uncultured bacterium
Lineage: Bacteria
Description: partial 16S ribosomal RNA
Rfam family: Bacterial small subunit ribosomal RNA
Source: RNAcentral